AGUUAAUUAACCUAAUUGCAGGUAUAUGUUUUGAAAGCAUAAUAUAGAAGUUAAAUUCUUCUAUUAACUU
This 70-nucleotide transfer RNA is filed under the name Tachycines shuangcha. RNAcentral's name for it is "tRNA-Ser". It matches the Rfam family "tRNA". Rfam says of the family: Transfer RNA (tRNA) molecules are approximately 80 nucleotides in length. Their secondary structure includes four short double-helical elements and three loops (D, anti-codon, and T loops). The record is from RNAcentral. Lineage: Eukaryota; Metazoa; Arthropoda; Insecta; Orthoptera; Rhaphidophoridae.